This 460-nucleotide ribosomal RNA is filed under the name uncultured bacterium. Its description in RNAcentral is "partial 16S ribosomal RNA". It matches the Rfam family "Bacterial small subunit ribosomal RNA", at positions 338 to 795 of the family's 1533-position model. The record is from RNAcentral.
CCUACGGGCGGCAGCAGUGAGGAAUAUUGGUCAAUGGACGAGAGUCUGAACCAGCCAAGUAGCGUGAAGGAUGACUGCCCUAUGGGUUGUAAACUUCUUUUAUAUGGGAAUAACAUGUUCCACGUGUGGGAUUUUGUAUGUACCAUAUGAAUAAGGAUCGGCUAACUCCGUGCCAGCAGCCGCGGUAAUACGGAGGAUCCGAGCGUUAUCCGGAUUUAUUGGGUUUAAAGGGAGCGUAGGUGGAUUGUUAAGUCAGUUGUGAAAGUUUGCGGCUCAACCGUAAAAUUGCAGUUGAAACUGGCAGUCUUGAGUACAGUAGAGGUGGGCGGAAUUCGUGGUGUAGCGGUGAAAUGCUUAGAUAUCACGAAGAACUCCGAUUGCGAAGGCAGUUCACUGGACUGCAACUGACACUGAGGCUCGAAAGUGUGGGUAUCAAACAGGAUUAGAUACCCCAGUAGUC